CUCGUAGGCGGCCAACUAAGUCAGACGUGAAAUCCCUCGGCUUAACCGGGGAACUGCGUCUGAUACUGGAUGGCUCGAGGUUGGGAGAGGGAUGCGGAAUUCCAGGUGUAGCGGUGAAAUGCGUAGAUAUCUGGAGGAACACCGGUGGCGAAGGCGGCAUCCUGGACCAAUACUGACGCUGAGGAACGAAAGCCAGGGGAGCAAACG
Molecule: ribosomal RNA, 207 nt
Filed under: uncultured bacterium
Lineage: Bacteria
Description: partial 16S ribosomal RNA
Rfam family: Bacterial small subunit ribosomal RNA
Source: RNAcentral